This 492-nucleotide ribosomal RNA is filed under the name uncultured bacterium. RNAcentral's name for it is "partial 16S ribosomal RNA". It matches the Rfam family "Bacterial small subunit ribosomal RNA", at positions 29 to 507 of the family's 1533-position model. The record is from RNAcentral.
AGUGAACGCUGGCGGUAGGCCUAACACAUGCAAGUCGAACGGCAGCACAGUAAGAGCUUGCUCUUACGGGUGGCGAGUGGCGGACGGGUGAGGAAUACAUCGGAAUCUACUUUUUCGUGGGGGAUAACGUAGGGAAACUUACGCUAAUACCGCAUACGACCUACGGGUGAAAGCAGGGGAUCUUCGGACCUUGCGCGAUUGAAUGAGCCGAUGUCGGAUUAGCUAGUUGGCGGGGUAAAGGCCCACCAAGGCGACGAUCCGUAGCUGGUCUGAGAGGAUGAUAAGCCACACUGGAACUGAGACACGGUCCAGACGCCUACGGGAGGCAGCAGUGGGGAAUAUUGGACAAUGGGCGCAAGCCUGAUCCAGCCAUCCCGCGUGGGUGAAGAAGGCCUUCGGGUUGUAAAGCCCUUUUGUUGGGAAAGAAAAGCAGCAGGUUAAUACCCCGCUGUUCUGACGGUACCCAAAGAAUAAGCACCGGCUAACUUCGUG